Molecule: ribosomal RNA, 429 nt
Filed under: Fusobacteriota bacterium
Lineage: Bacteria; Fusobacteriati; Fusobacteriota
Description: Fusobacteria bacterium partial 16S ribosomal RNA
Rfam family: Bacterial small subunit ribosomal RNA
Source: RNAcentral
UGGGGAAUCUUCCGCAAUGGACGAAAGUCUGACGGAGCAACGCCGCGUGAGUGAAGACGGCCUUCGGGUUGUAAAGCUCUGUGAUCCGGGACGAAAGAGCCUGAGGUAAAUAGCCUAAGGAAGUGACGGUACCGGAAAAGCAGGCCACGGCUAACUACGUGCCAGCAGCCGCGGUAAUACGUAGGUGGCAAGCGUUGUCCGGAAUUAUUGGGCGUAAAGCGCGCGCAGGCGGCUUACUAAGUCCAUCUUAAAAGUGCGGGGCUUAACCCCGUGAUGGGAUGGAAACUGGAAAGCUGGAGUAUCGGAGAGGAAAGUGGAAUUCCUAGUGUAGCGGUGAAAUGCGUAGAGAUUAGGAAGAACACCGGUGGCGAAGGCGACUUUCUGGACGAAAACUGACGCUGAGGCGCGAAAGCGUGGGGAGCAAACAGG